RNAcentral lists this ribosomal RNA (253 nucleotides) under uncultured bacterium. RNAcentral describes it as "partial 16S ribosomal RNA". It matches the Rfam family "Bacterial small subunit ribosomal RNA", at positions 524 to 776 of the family's 1533-position model. The record is from RNAcentral.
UACGUAGGGUGCGAGCGUUAUUCGGAAUUAUUGGGCGUAAAGGGCGCGUAGGCGGCUUUGCAAGUGACGGGUGAAAUCCCUCGGCUUAACCGAGGAACUGCCUGUCAAACUGCAUGGCUUGAGACCAGGAGAGGUGAGUGGAAUUCCCAGUGUAGCGGUGAAAUGCGUAGAUAUUGGGAGGAACACCAGUGGCGAAGGCGGCUCACUGGACUGGUACUGACGCUGAUGCGCGAAAGCGUGGGGAGCAAACAGG